Molecule: ribosomal RNA, 233 nt
Filed under: uncultured bacterium
Lineage: Bacteria
Description: partial 16S ribosomal RNA
Rfam family: Bacterial small subunit ribosomal RNA
Source: RNAcentral
UACGUAGGGUGCAAGCGUUGUCCGGAAUUAUUGGGCGUAAAGAGCUCGUAGGCGGUUUGUUGCGUCGGCUGUGAAAUCCCGAGGCUCAACCUCGGGUCUGCAGUCGAUACGAGCAAACUAGAGUGUUGCAGGGGAGACUGGAAUUCCUGGUGUAGCGGUGAAAUGCGCAGAUAGUCAGGAGGAACACCGGUGGCGAAGGCGGUUCUCUGGGCAUUACCUGACGGCUGAGGAGC